This is a non-coding RNA of Cricetulus griseus (Chinese hamster), 1400 nucleotides long. The record is from RefSeq and is a predicted model, not a curated record. Lineage: Eukaryota; Metazoa; Chordata; Mammalia; Rodentia; Cricetidae.
UGCUCACACACACACUUCUACAGGCUUUCUCUCUAACACACACACCUACAGGCUUGCUCACACACACAUGCACACAUCCACAGGUUUGCUCACACACAUACAUUUAUUUAAAAAAGGCCUGCUAGGUGGGUAGAGCUGAUUGCCCAUGCUCAUCACAUAUCCAGCACCUAAACCCUUCUUAUUCACUCAAUAGUCACUGAAUUGGGAGGUUGUCAAUCCAUGAGUGUUGGGUGCAAAUGUGUUUUGUAAACCUUCAACAUCAUGAACCUGAAAGAAAGUUGGACUCUUGAUUAGUCUGCGUUGGCUGUCCAUAUACUUGACAUUUGUUUGUUCCUGAGUCUGUGCUUAGAUCAACAUUGUUUCUUUCUGCAAGAAGCAAGAUUUUAAGAUAACUUAUAUAGUAUCUGGAAUGGCACUGUUGUUGGGAACCAAUAACCCUGAUGACUAUGGGUAGAGGCUGGGGUAGGCUCCCCACAGAUACCAAGAUCCCCAGUUCUCAGAUACAUCCACAGGUGGGGUACUGCUCAUAGAUAUUUUUUAGAGUACACACACACACACACACACACACACACACACACACACAAAUCCAAAACCUCAUUUAGCUUGCUGGUCCACUGCUUCUUGGCCUUUUGGCUAGCCUUUAUUAAAUAUUGAAACAUUUAUACAUCCUGAAGAGAAAUCAUAAAAGUCUGUCAACUAGAAAUAGAAACACUAGUGCACAAAGACCCUGAGAUUGUCACAAAGUAAAGACAUGUAGAAGUUAUGGCUUAUCCACCAUGAAAUGCUAUGCAGCUGGGCUAGGUGUCAGCAACUGGGGAGCCCGGUUCUCUAGGGAUCAGUUCUACCUUAGUUAUUUCCUAGAGGCUCGUGGGAGGGGCAACUAGGCUAGUUUAUUCAUCUCUGCUGAGAUAGAUCUUCUAAUAAAUGGAAGCAUGAUUCACGAGGUUAACUAUGACCUGUGUCCCAGUUACUUUUCCUGUUGUUAUGAUAAAAUACCUGACAAAGGCAACUUAAGGAAGGAAGGAAUUACUUUGGCUGACAGUUUGAGGUACAAUCCAUCAUGGUGAGGACAUCAAGGCAGCAGGCACUUGAGGUGGAAGCUAGUCAAAGAGCUGUAUCCAGGCAGAAAGCAGAGAGUGAUGGAUGCCACACUCACCAUACUUUCUUCUUUUUAUCAGUCCAGAGCUCCAGCUCUUGGGAUGUUGCUGCCCAUAGCUGAGACAGAUCUUCCCACUUGGAUUAACCUCAUGUGAGGUGUGUGUCCCAAUGGAACAACAAUGGAGACAAUGGGGAUGUCAAGACAAGAGCACACUAAUCGCUGGCUAUGGAGCAAGAGUCACAAGGAACCUCUAUAUAAGGAUAUUGCUUCCUCUGCUUAAUAAAAUAAUAGCUUGAUGUUA